RNAcentral lists this ribosomal RNA (253 nucleotides) under uncultured bacterium. Its description in RNAcentral is "partial 16S ribosomal RNA". It matches the Rfam family "Bacterial small subunit ribosomal RNA", at positions 524 to 776 of the family's 1533-position model. The record is from RNAcentral.
UACGUAGGGUGCGAGCGUUGUCCGGAAUUAUUGGGCGUAAAGAGCUUGUAGGCGGUUUGUCGCGUCUGCCGUGAAAUUUCGGGGCUCAACCCCGAACUUGCGGUGGGUACGGGCAGACUAGAGUGUGGUAGGGGAGACUGGAAUCCCUGGUGUAGCGGUGAAAUGCGCAGAUAUCAGGAGGAACACCGAUGGCGAAGGCAGGUCUCUGGGCCACUACUGACGCUGAGAAGCGAAAGCAUGGGGAGCGAACAGG